Molecule: long non-coding RNA, 6027 nt
Filed under: Medicago truncatula (barrel medic)
Lineage: Eukaryota; Viridiplantae; Streptophyta; Magnoliopsida; Fabales; Fabaceae
Description: long non-coding RNA (MTRU_LNC002771)
Source: RNAcentral
CCACCGGGCACUUGUUGUUAAUAGGCUUCCUAGGGAGUGCACCAACUUCAGCAGUUAAAGGACCAAUUCGAGCCCCCUCCUUUAGCAGUUUUAGAGUUUAAAUUAAUUACUCGUUGAGAGUGUUUCAGAUUAAAAUAAAUUGCUGAAUUUAUUCUAGCAAAAAAGUAGUCAAAUUUUACAAUUAAAUUUAAAAAGAGUAAUACCUGACUCAUGUUUUACAUCAAAUCAAAAAAAUUAAUUGCACUUAACUCAAUUCAUUAAACAUGACGGUCUUUUUCUUAUAAAUAUGAGUCCUCGAAUUAUAUUUUGAUCUCAUUGUUUUCUUUAAGGUUUAAUCUUUUUAGAGCUUUGCUUGUCAUAAAUUAAAGAGUGUUUUAUCUUUGUUGAAAAGUAUACUUUUUAUGUGAGUGUGGAGCUUAAAUUGAUGUUUUGUCGUUGGGUUUUCUAAACGCAUGUGUAGUAUUUGGUUGUUAAUUAUAAUCUUUUGCACUGGAUUUGGUCUAUUUUCUCUUUUGUCUUACAUGUUUUUCCAUAGAAGAAUAUGAUGCAGUCCAACACUAGUUAAUAUGAAACAUUGUUUUAUGUUUAAUUCUUUGUCGACAUGCUCAUAAAUUUAAAACAAUAUGAUUAUACGAGGAUUUUUCUACUAUGAGUGUGAAGUAAAUGAAAGCAUCUUGGUCAUUCCCAAGUUAUAUGGAUCUCACAUAUAUAGUUGCAAACAUGAAUGAAAGUCCCAUCUAACUUCACAAAUAUGACUUUUCUAUUUAGUAGAUCCAUAGAUUUCUCUCUCAAGGUCCCAUCUAACUUCACAAAUCAUAAGCUUCCAACACACGGAGUAUUGCUAUAGUGCUAAAAUUCUCAGCCUUAACAUAUGAAAGUCAUGAGUCCACCUUAGAUAUAUAUUAACCAAAUUAUUAAACUUAUAAUGAUGGGCAUAUAAACACACACCUCAUCAACCAUCCAACACCAUGAACACUAUAAAUAGAGUCCAGUGAUUUCUUAUUUUCAUACAAACUCACUUGAGCCUCCACUUUUACACUUAUAGGUUUAGUUAUUAAUUGAAGAAACGUACACAAGCUACCAUCAUCAUUUUUCAUAUCAUGACACCGAAAAAUUGUUCCUAUGCUAUUUUCCUUACCCUCAACAUUCUAUUCUUUGCUAUUGUAUCUGCAAAUGGUAAUUGCCCAACCCCGCCGAAACCGAAACCAACCCCACCGAAACCAAAACCAUGCCCAACCCCGUCAAAUGGUAAAUGCCCAACCCCACCGAAACCAAAACCAACCCCACCAAAACCAAAACCAUGCCCAACCCCACCAAAUGGUAAAUGCCCAACCCCACCGAAGCCAAAACCAACCCCUAAACCAACACCUUCACGCAAAUCUUGUCCGCGUGACACAAUCAAACUUGGUGGAUGCUCCAGUGUGUUAAAUGGGAUGUUCAACUUUUCUAUGGGUGUUCCAAAUAGCCAAUGUUGCGGUUUCCUUGACGGUUUAGUUGACUAUGACUUUGCAAUUUGCAUUUGUACGGCUCUAAAAGCAAACAUUAUGGGCAUAAUAGUAAACAUUCCAAUUUCAUUUACCCAGCUUAUCAAUUUUUGCUCAAGGCAAGCCCCAAGCGGUUUUGAAUGUUUGCCAGAUGUUCAUUAAGUAUCUAUCUGCAACGUUAGUAGUAGUAUUAUCUAUAUUUUCUAUGUCUUAAUUUGCUUAGAGUUUCGUUGUCUUUUCGAACUUUUUUUUUUAUUAUCAAUUAUUGUUAUUAGAUGGGUGAUUAUUAAUUACUCAUCAUUCAUUUCCUUUCUUUACAAGCUUAUGUAAUAACUUUUAUUGAAAUAGAAGGUUGAUUUUUAUUCAGUUGUGAAAUGAAUCAAUUUAGUUGUCUUUUUAUCUAAUAAUAAUGAAAGGUUGUUCUAUAGGUCCCUCAAGAUGCUCACUUCCCUCUCGAGUCCUGACUCUUGAUCCCUCAAGUUCAGUAGUUUAAAUUGGAUAUGUCCUCAAUUUCGUUUAAGAUUUCAUCGGUAGUUAUGGUCGAAAGGAUCGAGAGUUAGAAUAUGAUAUGUUCAUGAUCUAACUUAGGGAAAUUUUACGGUACCAAGCACAUGGUUCAAUAACCACUCAUAUUUUUAACAACAAUAUCCAAAACACAUAAUUCAACAACAAUACACGAGAGAGUUUAUAAUUUAUUCACAAGCAAUAUGGAUCUCGCAUAUACAGUUUCAACGAUAAUCGUACAUUCAUUCUUGCUAAGAGAGUUUCACAUUUAUAGUUUAGAUUUAUUAUGACCCAUAGUUCAACUUGGUUUUGGUUUGAUAUGGUGACAUAAUUUGUUUCACACUCUUUCCGAUACAAUUUCAGAUUAUAUAAGCGUUGUUGAUACACUCCAUUAACAAAUGAAAGUGUUUGAAGUAAAUUAAAGUAUGAAAUUCGUUUAUAUAUUGAGUUCUAGAUUUUUUAUUUUAAAUGGAAAAAUAAGGACAUGAAAUGUAGGUAAUGUUACCUUUGUCUUGAUAGGUAUACAAAGGAAAUUACUGGGUUCUUUAAAAAAAGAGGAUAUUAUUGGGUUGUGUUCCAUUGUUUUUUGUUUGUUUCUAAAGCAACUUUAAUUAAUCUGCAGAUAAAUAAUAUUUAUGGAAAUUUCAUUUAAUUUACAUCUCAUCAAUUAACUUUUUAAAAAAUAAAUAAAUAUUUGAAGACCAAUUUUUAAUGUUUUGUCUUCAAUUGUUUUUUAUGCUCUUUUGCUUGUAUCUUAAUAAAAAUAAUAAUUUUAAGAAUACAAAGUUCUGAGACGCUCAACUAGGGUUCAUAGCAUGAGCUUCACUUGAAUUACGUUUUGUAUCCAAUUUUGGAUCUAGUAGCUUACUACAUUUACAAUUGGAUCCAAUAGCUUUCAUCCAUGCAUUUGUUCGGUGUUGAUUUCUAUCUCAAGUCAAAUCCAAUCGUCGGAAGCAUUCAAUUGACAUUUUGUGGUCCAUCGAUUUUGUAUGCAACUCGUUUGUGAAAUUCAUUGUAUACAAAGGUUUAACACGUGAAAGACGUACACGGCUAGGCAUGGCAUACGCAUGCCCUUAGCCACAUGAGGUUGACGAUACAGUACCGUCACAACAUUAGCAAUUUUUGUUUGCUCUCGGGCCUUAACGACUUUUAAUUCAAUCUCAUUUGUGGUUCAAUCAAAAUAACACAGGCUGCGUACGAUAAAGGAGUAGAGUCUUGCAAAUACAAUUUGCAAGGACAGCUUGUGUUACACAGGCUGCCACACCAUGUCAUGGUCAGGUCCGUCCCUGGCUCACGUUGCAAAAAUAUUGGACACAAUAUUUCUAUUUGUCGUUGGUUGUACCCUCAACAAAGUGGAAAGGUUAAUAAAGAAAGAAUUGACAAGAUAAAUAAAGGCAAGAAACCAGGCAAGCAAAAGAUAACCCUGCAUGCAUAGGUUUUUCGAAAGCAAUUAAGACACCAUUUGCUCGAAAUGUUCACCUCCAGUCAAUGAACAUAUAGUUGUGCAAUCUGAAUUAACAGUAACAGGUGAUUUUCAACCACGUACUGAUGAAGCACGACUAGCAAUAUAAGAUGAGCAACCAAGCAUGAAAGGUUGCGUAACAAGUGAUAGAUGAGACACAUAUAGUUUCUCAUGCUGCACCACUGCCCCUUAUGAACACUGAUAAGUCUAUCACAUCUUUUCAUUUAGCGCUACAAAAUGUCACAUAUGAGAUUGAGAGAACAACAAAUACUGAGAAAAAAUUCCCGAGUUUGGAAUUGGUAACCGUUAAUGAACAUAUGGAUGCUUCAGAUUCGGCAUAAAAUGUAUCAAAUGAUAGCGCAGAAGUCAAUGUUAAAGCUUCUAUUGGUCAUUCUUCGUCCAUUGCAAUCAUUUGUCUGCAACUUCAGAAGGAACUUGAUCUUGUAAACGAAUAUCUUAUUAUCUGACGAAGAAGCAGAAUAAACAGCGCUCCAAAAUCACCUCCCACAACACUCAGUCCAAGGGUGAACUCAAGUGUUGAGCUGCACGUUUUCUUUUAGGGUCAUUUUUCUUUCAUUUUUCUUUUAUGUAUUUUGUCGGUCAAAGAAUGUAUUAAAUAGUAUUCAUUACUCCCUCCGUUCCUUUUUAAGUGUCACUUUUGGAGAUUUUUUUGUUCCUAUUUAAGUGUCACUUUACAUAGUUCAAUGCAACAUUAAAUGUUAUUUUACUAAUAUUACCCUUAUUUAUUAUUGUGGAGAGAGAAAUACUCCCUCCGUCCCUAUAUAUAAGACCCUUUUGCCAAAAUCACGGGAAUUAAGAUAGUGGAUAUUUGUAUUAAAGUUGUUUGUAAUCACUAUUGUUUUUACAAUUUUAUCCUUUAAGAAAUAAGGUUAGUUUAUAUUUUCAACAUGUUAUUUAUUGUUGAUUGAAGAAAAAGAUGUAUAAUAAAUAGGGGCAUGUAUGUAAAGAAAUAAUUAAUGUAGUUGAAAAUAACAAAGGGGUCUUAUAAAAAUGGACAAAAAAAAUUCUCAAAAGAGUCUUAUAAUUAGGGACGGAAGGAGUAUAUGUAAUGAGAUAUUAAAUAAAUAAGGUUAUUAUAGUAAAAAUAGAAAUUAUUGUAUCAAAAGUAGCAACAUUUAUUGAUUGUUUUGGUUUAUAUAAAACGUCAAAAUGUGAUAAUUAAAAAUAAAUGGAGGUAGUAUUUAUCGAUGCUUAUUACCACCGGUAGUAGUUCUUUCGGCAAAAAAAUAAAAAUGGUAAUAAUGUAAGGGAUAAGCAUGAAUACUUUCACAUUUUCCAAAUAAAAUUUAAAUAGUGUCUAACGUUUCUAAAUUACUCAAUAUUAAGAAUUGUACAUACAUUACCCUCCCAACUUUGUUUAUGAAACCACUCACUCAAAGUUCAAACUUAAUAACAUAACUCCUUUUCUUUUUCUUUUUCUUUUUCAUGUUCUUUUUUUUUUCUUUCUACUUUCCAAUCUCUCUUCUCCUUUUUUUUCUUCACAUCUAACAUCUCUAAUUUGGGUGUUGAAUAGAAGAAAGUCUAUAUAUAUAUAUAUAUAUAUAUAUAUAUAUAUAUAUAUAUAUAUAUAUAUAUAUAUAUAUAUAUAUAUAUAUAUAUAUGUGUGUGUGUGUGUGACAAUGCAAGAAAAAACUGGAUCAACCUCUAGAACCGAUCAAACCGUCGGUUCUCCCGGUUUUUUUUCGGUUGUUGUCCGAUUUUCCGAUUCAUGCCCUGGUUUAAUAGGUGAGCGGUUUUCAGGACUAAACAGACCAGAUGCAGGUUCGGUUUACGGUUGAACUGGCCGGUCCAGUCCAAUUUUAACUACCUUAAUAUUAAAAAAAAAUAAAGGAUAAAAAGUUCUUCCAAAGGGUCGAAAUAAAUACUAAUAUUUUUUAUCAGAGCAAUGUUUGAUCAUAUAAAUUCUUAAAUGAAGUUGUUUGACUCCCAAUACCAACAAACAAUAGUAAAAUAGGAUGUGUGAUUUCACAAAAAUAUUGUGUAGUUUUUUUUUUUUUUGGUUACAUAGCUAAUAUAUAUUAUUAUAUUAAUAUUGUGCAGUUUGAUGGUAAGAGAAUAACAAAUGAUAAAUUAUAAAUAAAUAAAAGGCUAAAGUGAACUUUUGGACUCUUAAGUUUUAAAAUAUUGUGAUUUUAAACCCCUAUUAAUUUGAAAACUUUGGCCCCUCAUAAUUUAACCCCUUUGCAAAAGUCAUCCUUUUAUUAAUUUUGACCAAAUCAGUGCACACAAACUAGUGAGUAAAUGCCAAAUCUGUAUUUUUCAAUUAAAAAAUUAAAAAAGCCACGCUUGUAUAUAUUGAAUUAAAAAAAACAAAGCAAAAAGAAAAAUGCACGUGUACUCUCUUUACCUCAUUCUUUUCCAUCAGAACCACCACCCAUCUCUUUCAUCUUCUUCCCUUCUUCCUGCAAAUUCAACUUUCAAGCACACCACUAUCCGUUUUGCUUCAUCAUCAUCUUUUUCUUUCACUUGAGGUCUUAAUUUCUUCAAUUUCUCACCCAAUUUCUUUCAAGCACACUACUACCCAAUUUCUUCAAUCUCAAUUCCUUUCAUUGGAGG